AACGAACGCUGGCGGCGCGCCUAACACAUGCAAGUCGAACGAGAAUCCGGGGCAACCCGGUAGUAAAGUGGCAAACGGGUGAGGAAUACAUGGGUAACCUACCCUUGAGAAGGGAAUAACCCGCCGAAAGGUGAGCUAAUACCCUAUACGCUAUCUUUUUUUUGAAAAGGAUAGGAAAGCCGGGUCGAGGACCUGGUACUCAAGGAGGGGCUCAUGUCCUAUCAGCUUGUUGGUGGGGUAACGGCCUACCAAGGCUACGACGGGUAGCUGGUCUGAGAGGAUGAUCAGCCGCACUGGCACUGAGAUACGGGCCAGACUCCUACGGGAGGCAGCAGUGAGGAAUAUUGCGCAAUGGGCGAAAGCCUGACGCAGCGACGCCGCGUGGGGGAUGAAGGUUUUCGGAUUGUAAACCCCUUUCAUGAGGAAAGAUAAAGUGGGUAACCACUUAGACGGUACCUCAAGAAGAAGCCACGGCUAACUUCGUG
This 485-nucleotide ribosomal RNA is filed under the name uncultured bacterium. RNAcentral describes it as "bacterial SSU rRNA". It matches the Rfam family "Bacterial small subunit ribosomal RNA", at positions 29 to 507 of the family's 1533-position model. The record is from RNAcentral.